This 502-nucleotide ribosomal RNA is filed under the name uncultured bacterium. RNAcentral's name for it is "bacterial SSU rRNA". It matches the Rfam family "Bacterial small subunit ribosomal RNA", at positions 21 to 518 of the family's 1533-position model. The record is from RNAcentral.
GGCUCAGGAUGAACGCUAGCGACAGGCCUAACACAUGCAAGUCGAGGGCAGCACAAGGAGCAAUCUGAGGUGGCGACCGGCGCACGGGUGAGUAACACGUAUGCAACCUGCCUGUAAGCGGGGAAUAACCCGUUGAAAGACGGACUAAUACCGCAUAAUACUAAAUUACUGCAUGGUAAUUUAUUUAAACAUUUAUGGCUUACAGAUGGGCAUGCGCAUGAUUAGCUAGUUGGAGAGGUAACGGCUCCCCAAGGCAACGAUCAUUAGGGGUUCUGAGAGGAAGGUCCCCCACACUGGUACUGAGACACGGACCAGACUCCUACGGGAGGCAGCAGUGAGGAAUAUUGGUCAAUGGACGAGAGUCUGAACCAGCCAAGUCGCGUGCAGGAAGAAUUGUCCUAUGGAUUGUAAACUGCUUUUGCAGGGGAAUAAAGUGCAUCACGUGUGAUGUUUUGUAUGUACUCUGCGAAUAAGGAUCGGCUAACUCCGUGCCAGCCGCCGC